Molecule: ribosomal RNA, 468 nt
Filed under: uncultured bacterium
Lineage: Bacteria
Description: partial 16S ribosomal RNA
Rfam family: Bacterial small subunit ribosomal RNA
Source: RNAcentral
GACGAACGCUGGCGGCGUGCUUAACACAUGCAAGUCGAACGGAAAGGCCCUGCUUUUGUGGGGUGCUCGAGUGGCGAACGGGUGAGUAACACGUGAGUAACCUGCCCUUGACUUUGGGAUAACUUCAGGAAACUGGGGCUAAUACCGGAUAGGAGCUCCUGCUGCAUGGUGGGGGUUGGAAAGUUUCGGCGGUUGGGGAUGGACUCGCGGCUUAUCAGCUUGUUGGUGGGGUAGUGGCUUACCAAGGCUUCGACGGGUAGCCGGCCUGAGAGGGUGACCGGCCACAUUGGGACUAAGAUACGCCCCAGACUCCUACGGGAGGCAGCAGUGGAGAACAUUGCCCAAUGAGCGCAAGCCUGAUGCGGCGACGCCGCGUUCGGGAUGACGGCCUUCGGGUUGUAAACCGCUUUCGCCUGUGACGAAGCGUGAGUGACGGUAAUGGGUAAAGAAGCACCGGCUAACUACGUG